CGGGGGGAGCAAGCGUUGUUCGGAUUACUGGGCGUAAAGGGCGCGUAGGCGGCCACCGCAAGUCGACUGUGAAAUCUCCGGGCUUGACCCGGAAAGGUCAGCCGAUACUGCGGGGCUAGAGUGCAGAAGGGGCAACUGGAAUUCUCGGUGUAGCGGUGAAAUGCGUAGAUAUCGAGAGGAACACCUGCGGCGAAGGCGGGUUGCUGGGCUGACACUGACGCUGAGGCGCGAAAGCUAGGGGAGCGAACGGGAUUAGAUACCCCGGUAGUCCUAGCCUUAAACGAUGAAUGCUUGGUGUCUGGGGGUUUUAUAGUCCCCGGGUGCCGUCGCUAACGCUUUAAGCAUUCCGCCUGGGGAGUACGGUCGCAAGACUG
RNAcentral lists this ribosomal RNA (374 nucleotides) under uncultured organism. RNAcentral's name for it is "bacterial SSU rRNA". It matches the Rfam family "Bacterial small subunit ribosomal RNA", at positions 526 to 896 of the family's 1533-position model. The record is from RNAcentral.